UGGGGAAUUUUGGACAAUGGGGGAAACCCUGAUCCAGCCAUCCCGCGUGUGCGAUGAAGGCCUUCGGGUUGUAAAGCACUUUUGGCAGGAAAGAAACGUCGCGGGUUAAUACCCCGCGAAACUGACGGUACCUGCAGAAUAAGCACCGGCUAACUACGUGCCAGCAGCCGCGGUAAUACGUAGGGUGCAAGCGUUAAUCGGAAUUACUGGGCGUAAAGCGUGCGCAGGCGGUUCGGAAAGAAAGAUGUGAAAUCCCAGAGCUUAACUUUGGAACUGCAUUUUUAACUACCGGGCUAGAGUGUGUCAGAGGGAGGUGGAAUUCCGCGUGUAGCAGUGAAAUGCGUAGAUAUGCGGAGGAACACCGAUGGCGAAGGCAGCCUCCUGGGAUAACACUGACGCUCAUGCACGAAAGCGUGGGGAGCAAACAGGAUUAGAUACCCUGGUAGUCCACGCCCUAAACGAUGUCAACUAGCUGUUGGGGCCUUCGGGCCUUGGUAGCGCAGCUAACGCGUGAAGUUGACCGCCUGGGGAGUACGGUCGCAAGAUUAAAACUUAAAUGAAUUGACGGGGUCAUAGCUGUUUU
Molecule: ribosomal RNA, 583 nt
Filed under: uncultured bacterium
Lineage: Bacteria
Description: partial 16S ribosomal RNA
Rfam family: Bacterial small subunit ribosomal RNA
Source: RNAcentral